GUCCAGUUGUCUCAUAGUGUAUCUAAAAUAGAACAUGCACUUAAAUCCAAAUUCAUGGGUUUCUCAAUCUCUGUGACCAUUCUAUAAGCUAUAAUUUAUAUGUUCUAAGGAGUAAAAAAAAAAAUAUGCAUCAAUUUGAUAACUGGAUAGCAAGCAAAAAGAAAUUGCGCAACAAAAUGCAGCCCAAUAAACAUUACUUAAGAAUUUUGAGUUCAGAAAAUAAGAUUU
This 228-nucleotide unclassified non-coding RNA is filed under the name Hevea brasiliensis (rubber tree). The record is from RNAcentral. Lineage: Eukaryota; Viridiplantae; Streptophyta; Magnoliopsida; Malpighiales; Euphorbiaceae.